AAUUAGCCACCGCUCAACUCAUGCAUCAGGCCUCACAUGCCCUCUCUGAUCAAUCUUCAACAGCCUGAUGAACUAGUCCUUUCUCACCAUCUCCAAUACACAGGUGGAGGGACUAAGGCUCAGGAAGCCCAACGCACUUGCCCUGCACUCACCACCAACCCACAGGCCCCUUUCAAAUGAGACAGGCUUGAUCACCCUGACCCAGGUGAAACGGUCCAUCUCUCCUGUCUUUCCACAAAACGUUCAUUCAUUCAACAAUUAAAUCCAUUCACUACUACAUGUGAGUCACUGUUCUGGAUGAGGAACUGAGACAGGCACAGAGAGGUUAGGAGACUUGCCCACGGCAAUGCAGCUCGUAAGUGCUGGUGCCAGGAUUCAAGUAUGGCUGAGUGCUUGUCUUCAACCAUCCUAGAUCACCCCCUGUGGUGAAGUUCUAUUACAGUUCUUUACAUGCACAGUUCUCAAAAUAACCGUAUGUGUGUGACACCCAGCCCCUGCCAGUCCCCCAUGGCCCCGUGGAGCCGAGAGGCGGUGCUGAGUCUCUAUCGGGCUCUGUUGCGCCAGGGCCGACAGCUUCGC
RNAcentral lists this small RNA (579 nucleotides) under Pongo abelii (Sumatran orangutan). RNAcentral describes it as "processed transcript". Lineage: Eukaryota; Metazoa; Chordata; Mammalia; Primates; Hominidae. The record is from RNAcentral.